ACACGAGCGGCGAACGGGUGAGUAACACGUGAGCAACCUACCCUCAACUUCGGGAUAAGCCUCGGAAACAAGGUCUAAUACCGGAUAUCACUCCUUUCCUCAUGGUUUGGGGUUGAAAGUUCUGGCGGUUGGGGAUGGGCUCGCGGCCUAUCAGCUUGUUGGUGGGGUAAUGGCCUACCAAGGCGUCGACGGGUAGCCGGCCUGAGAGGGCGACCGGCCACACUGGGACUGAGACACGGCCCAGACUCCUACGGGAGGCAGCAGUGGGGAAUAUUGCGCAAUGGACGAAAGUCUGACGCAGCAACGCCGCGUGAGGGAUGACGGCCUUCGGGUUGUAAACCUCUUUCAGCAGGGACGAAGCGAGAGUGACGGUACCUGCAGAAGAAGGACCGGCCAACUACGUGCCAGCAGCCGCGGUAAUACGUAGGGUCCGAGCGUUGUCCGGAAUUAUUGGGCGUAAAGGGCUCGUAGGCGGUUCGUCACGUCGGGAGUGAAAACUCGGAGCUCAACUCCGAGCCUGCUUCCGAUACGGGCAGACUAGAGGUAGGCAGGGGAGAGCGGAACUCCUGGUGUAGCGGUGGAAUGCGCAGAUAUCAGGAAGAACACCGGUGGCGAAGGCGGCUCUCUGGGCCUUACCUGACGCUGAGGAGCGAAAGCGUGGGUAGCGAACAGGAUUAGAUACCCUGGUAGUCCACGCCGUAAACGUUGGGCGCUAGGUGUGGGGGACAUUCCACGUCCUCCGUGCCGCAGCUAACGCAUUAAGCGCCCCGCCUGGGGAGUACGGCCGCAAGGCUAAAACUCAAAGGAAUUGACGGGGGCCCGCACAAGCGGCGGAGCAUGCGGAUUAAUUCGAUGCAACGCGAAGAACCUUACCUGGGUUUGACAUAUAGGGAAAUCCUCCAGAGAUGGGGGGUCCGUAAGGGUCCUAUACAGGUGGUGCAUGGCUGUCGUCAGCUCGUGUCGUGAGAUGUUGGGUUAAGUCCCGCAACGAGCGCAACCCUCGUCCUAUGUUGCCAGCACGUUAUGGUGGGGACUCAUAGGAGACUGCCGGGGUCAACUCGGAGGAAGGUGGGGAUGACGUCAAGUCAUCAUGCCCCUUAUGUCCAGGGCUUCACGCAUGCUACAAUGGCCGGUACAAAGGGCUGCGAAACCGCAAGGUGGAGCGAAUCCCAAAAAGCCGGUCUCAGUUCGGAUUGGGGUCUGCAACUCGACCCCAUGAAGUCGGAGUCGCUAGUAAUCGCAGAUCAGCAACGCUGCGGUGAAUACGUUCCCGGGCCUUGUACACACCGCCCGUCACGUCAUGAAAGUCGGCAAC
This 1315-nucleotide ribosomal RNA is filed under the name Kribbella sp. RNAcentral's name for it is "bacterial SSU rRNA". It matches the Rfam family "Bacterial small subunit ribosomal RNA", at positions 89 to 1418 of the family's 1533-position model. Lineage: Bacteria; Bacillati; Actinomycetota; Actinomycetes; Propionibacteriales; Kribbellaceae. The record is from RNAcentral.